Molecule: ribosomal RNA, 444 nt
Filed under: uncultured bacterium
Lineage: Bacteria
Description: bacterial SSU rRNA
Rfam family: Bacterial small subunit ribosomal RNA
Source: RNAcentral
AACGAACGCUGGCGGCAGGCUUAACACAUGCAAGUCGAACGCGUGUAGCAAUACACGAGUGGCGCACGGGUGAGUAACGCGUGGAUAUCUGCCUUUUGGUUCGGAAUAACUCCGGGAAACUGGAGCUAAUACCGGAUGGUUCCUACGGGAUAAAGAUUUAUCGCCAAAAGAUGAGUCCGCGUACGAUUAGCUAGUUGGUGAGGUAAUGGCUCACCAAGGCGACGAUCGUUAGCUGGUCUGAGAGGACGAUCAGCCACACUGGGACUGAGACACGGCCCAGACUCCUACGGGAGGCAGCAGUGGGGAAUAUUGGACAAUGGGGGCAACCCUGAUCCAGCCAUGCCGCGUGAGUGAUGAAGGCCUCGGUGUAAGCUCUUUGGUCGGGACGAUGAUGACGGUACCGCAGAUAAGCCCGGCUAACUUCGUGCCAGCAGCCGCGGUAAU